CCUGUUUACCAAAAACAUCACCUCUAGCAUUACAAGUAUUAGAGGCACUGCCUGCCCAGUGACUAAAGUUUAACGGCCGCGGUAUCCUGACCGUGCAAAGGUAGCAUAAUCACUUGUUCCUUAAUUAGGGACUAGCAUGAACGGCUAAACGAGGGUCCAACUGUCUCUUAUCUUUAAUCAGUGAAAUUGACCUUUCAGUGAAGAGGCUGAAAUAUAAUAAUAAGACGAGAAGACCCUAUGGA
RNAcentral lists this ribosomal RNA (242 nucleotides) under Mus musculus (house mouse). RNAcentral describes it as "partial 16S ribosomal RNA". It matches the Rfam family "Bacterial large subunit ribosomal RNA", at positions 1799 to 2097 of the family's 2925-position model. The record is from RNAcentral. Lineage: Eukaryota; Metazoa; Chordata; Mammalia; Rodentia; Muridae.